Long non-coding RNA from Oxyura jamaicensis (ruddy duck), 1171 nucleotides. RefSeq lists it as uncharacterized. The record is from RefSeq and is a predicted model, not a curated record. The transcript is spliced from 2 exons. Lineage: Eukaryota; Metazoa; Chordata; Aves; Anseriformes; Anatidae.
CUGUAACAGCCGGUGCUGCUCCAUCUGACUGAUGCCAUUUCCUUGUGCGAAGCUCUUCACCUUCACCAGGUGCUCUGCGCUGUGGCAGGCCGUUGCUGCUCCAGGCGCAAUGCCUCCCGCUGGGCUCGGUGCCGUCGGGCACGGCCCUGCCCCAGAAGAACACGGGACUGCCCCUCGCAGCGCAGUCACUGAGAAAAAAAUCUCAGCUGGGCAAACAGCUCCAGGUGCUGGAGAGAAGAGCCCAGGGUGAAGGAAGAGGGCUCAUCGGCUGCUGUUUCUCUUCCCAAGUGAUGGAUCUCUUCCUAACGAGCAGGAUCCUGAUUAACUCGUUGCCUUUCACAGCACCUCACCCUGGUCCCACCUGGGGAGCAGCAGCAGAGCCUCACGAGCGCCCGGCUCCCUCCCGCAGCCAGCGCUGCUGCACUGGCACUGGCUCUGCCCAAUGAUGUCAUAGCAGAGGGAAGGGAAAAAAGGCGACUGCGAGGCUCCUGAGCAAGUACAGCAGCAAGAAACGAAGAGGUUUGGACCUCACGUGAAACUUCCAGCAAGCCACCUCAUUCGUCAGCCCUUUCUGAGGCGAAGUGCUGACGACCAGAACUUUACACGGGGCCGCUGCGAAAACUUUAAGCCUCACUCGUAGCAUUAAGACCAUUUCCAGGCGUUUUUGCCGUGAUUUCAGCUAACCGGCCCGGGUUCUUGCGGAACUAGAAGGAAGCAGGAAAAUUAACUGAGCAACUCUUUUAGCUCAUUAAUGCACGAGAAAGGUGCAAGCAGUGACCAUUGCACACAUUGCACUAAGAGCACAGGAUGUUACUCCUCUUCCAGGUAUUUUAAGAGGGCCAGAGCAUCAACUCAUUUCAUGGGAUUAGAAGUGAAAAGUAAGGGGGAGAAGGGGGGGGGAGGGGCAGAACCAACUAUGCAAAAUAGCUAAGUGAGAAAUUCCGGCUAAUUUUAAUCAAAAAACUUCAUAGACCAGUUGUAAUAUCAUGAAAAUGAUUCAAAAUGUAUUCCCGCGUGGGAGAAUGACAUUUUGAAUAUUUUCUAGAAAUCACACCGAAACUGUUACAGUUACAAGUAAUUAAAUUUAUUAGACCUCUAUAAUUUUUAUAGUCAGUUUUGGCCAAUUUACAGGUUUCUUGGGGAUCAUUUUUGGUUUAAACACACACACACA